RNAcentral lists this ribosomal RNA (433 nucleotides) under uncultured bacterium. Its description in RNAcentral is "partial 16S ribosomal RNA". It matches the Rfam family "Bacterial small subunit ribosomal RNA", at positions 29 to 507 of the family's 1533-position model. The record is from RNAcentral.
AACGAACGCUGGCGGCAGGCCUAACACAUGCAAGUCGAGCGAGGACUUCGGCUCUAGCGGCGGACGGGCGAGUAACGCGUGGGAAUGUGCCCUUCUCUACGGAAUAGGCCUGGGAAACUGGGAGUAAUACCGUAUACGCCCCAUGGGGGAAGGGUUUAUCGGAGAUGGAUCAGCCGGCGUUGGAUUAGGUAGUUGGUGUGGUAAUGGCCGAUCAAGCCGACGAUCCAUAGCUGGUUUGAGAGGUUGAUCAGCAGCACUGGGACUGAGACACGGCCCAAGCUCCUACGAGAGGCCGCAGGGGGGAAUCUUAGACCAUGGGGGCAACCCUGAUCUAGCCAUGCCGCGUGAGUGAUGAAGGUCUUAGGGUUGUAAAGCUCUUUCAGCUGGGAAGAUAAUGACGGUACCAGCAGAAGAAGCCCCGGCUAACUCCGUG